This 581-nucleotide ribosomal RNA is filed under the name uncultured bacterium. RNAcentral describes it as "bacterial SSU rRNA". It matches the Rfam family "Bacterial small subunit ribosomal RNA", at positions 31 to 610 of the family's 1533-position model. The record is from RNAcentral.
GAACGCUGGCGGCAGCCUAACAAUGCAAGUCGAACGGUAACAUUUCUAGCUUGCUAGAAGAUGACGAGUGGCGGACGGGUGAGUAAUGCUUGGGAACUUGCCUUUGCGAGGGGGAUAACAGUUGGAAACGACUGCUAAUACCGCAUAAUGUCUUCGGACCAAACGGGGCUUCGGCUCCGGCGCAAAGAGAGGCCCAAGUGAGAUUAGCUAGUUGGUAAGGUAACGGCUUACCAAGGCGACGAUCUCUAGCUGUUCUGAGAGGAAGAUCAGCCACACUGGGACUGAGACACGGCCCAGACUCCUACGGGAGGCAGCAGUGGGGAAUAUUGCACAAUGGGGGAAACCCUGAUGCAGCCAUGCCGCGUGUGUGAAGAAGGCCUUCGGGUUGUAAAGCACUCUCAGUUGUGAGGAAAAGUUAGUAGUUAAUACCUGCUAGCCGUGACGUUAACAACAGAAGAAGCACCGGCUAACUCCGUGCCAGCAGCCGCGGUAAUACGGAGGGUGCGAGCGUUAAUCGGAAUUACUGGGCGUAAAGCGCACGCAGGCGGUUUGUUAAGCUAGAUGUGAAAGCCCCCGGGCUC